GAUAUAUCGCUAUCGAUGUUUCUGCACUUCUACUGGUCAAAUUAACAACGUUGCGUUACUGACAUUUUCGAUCAAAAUCAAACGAAAAUUGCAACAAGAAACUUAAGGCAAGAAAAUAGAAAGCAGCCGUAAAAUAAGUCAAUUAAUUGUAUAAUUAACGCUUAGCAGCUUUAACAUAGAAAACAACGCACAAAGAUGGAGAACAACGAGUCGCCCGCACCUUCUGGUUCCAACAACAAUGAUUUUCCCAUACUUCCGCCACCGCCAAACAACAACAACUACAACAACUUUAACGAUCCGUCGAACAGCAACAACAAUGCCGCCCAGAAGCGCCUGCAGCAGACACAGGCCAAAGUGGACGAAGUCGUUGGCAUUAUGCGCGUGAAUGUCGAGAAAGUGCUGGAACGUGAUCAGAAACUAUCGGAGCUGGGAGAGCGUGCCGAUCAAUUGGAACAGGGUGCCUCACAGUUUGAGCAGCAGGCGGGCAAACUGAAGCGCAAGCAAUGGUGGGCCAACAUGAAGAUGAUGAUCAUUCUGGGCGUCAUCGCUGUCGUCUUGCUCAUCAUCAUCAUAGUCUCAAUAUACAAUUGAUAAACACGAGAAAUAGAUAAAAACAAAAGUAUAUAAAAAAACGUGCAGCAAGGCAACUUGUUGAACUUGCAACAUUACGCAUUACUCUAAGGCAGCUACUACUACAUACACACACGUACACACACACAGAUACAAAUCCAAUUUUAUGUAUUUGUGUACUAAAAAAAAGCAGUUAAUACAAAUGAAAACGUUUAUAGUCGAAAGGUAAAAAGAAAACAUUCGUCGUUGCGUGUUCUAUGUGCUAAUUUGUUUAUUUGCCCCCGUUUAUAAGCCAAGUUAGCAACGAGAUAAUUUUUGUUUUAUAACUUGUACAUAUAGAUUUUGCGCCUUGCCAUCGAGCGACAGCAGCAGCAACAGCGUUAAGGCAACGGAGCACGCCACGUAAGACGCCUCUUGCCACGCCCCCUCCAAAAAGCAACAUUCAACAACAAAACCAGAAAGAAACUAACAACGAGGAAAAUGCGAUAGAAAGAAACUCUGUUGCCUUCUGUAUUGGCCUUAUGUCUAAAGAAAACUUGUCUAAAAAAACAAUUAAUAUUAACAAAACUUCAAAACCGAUUGUAAUUGUUAUUAAUAAUCCUUCGUCAAUGUUACCAAGAAAACAUUAUAUGCACAAUUAACUAUUGUAAAUGCAACAAUUUUGAUGCCAACCCUUUGUUGGCAUCGUAAAGAAAAUCGUUAAAAAAAAACAAUAAUAAUAAUAAUGAGGCAUUUGAAAUGUCAAUGUGCGUGUGUGUGUGUGUAUGUGAACGUGAGAGGAUUUUCCUUUUGCAGCACAACAAAAAAAAAAGAAAGAAAGAAAACUAAAUUUAUAUAUACACAUAAUUGUAAACACCAGACAAACACACAACACAACGCGAUUGUUCUAUAAAUUAUUUAUACUUGUGUGGAACAAUUUAUACUUUAUACAUAUACAUAUAUAUAUAUAUAAUACAUAUAAACUUAAUGGCAUGUAAUUUGUUAUAAAAAAAAAAACAAACCAAACUUUUCGGUGUUGAAACUAAAUGUAUUGCAACGUACGUUUGCCACAAAGAAACGCGAACAUCUUUUUUUGUAGAAAAACUAUUGAAAACCAAAACAAAACAUCUCAACUGUUAUUAUUAUUUACACAUUUCUUAUUUUUGCACACUCGUAUGUAUUUUACUGCGGAAAACUUUUAUCGAUCGAAGGAUUCAAUGUUCCGAAACACGAGACGCAAACUUGUUUACACACGCCGCACGAAUGUGACGUAAGUUUUGAGCAACUUGCAACUGAGAAGCGUAAACAUUUGUCCGUUUGCCUGAGUAGAGAAUCAAGUGGCUGAGUUAAGGAGUUGAAUGUGCUUCGCUUCUCUCUGUGUGUUCGUGUGUUUGUUUGCCAAACAGCUGUUUUGUGGACAUGCGCCUAGGUGUGCAACUUGCAACGCAACCCUGCCACAAAACAGAUAUUCAAAUCUUGGGGUUAAUGCCAGCCAACUCGAGGCCAGCAGCAGUUGUCCACACGUAGCCCAUGUAGAGUGCAUAGAAGUUCAGAUAAUACAGCUGACCGAUGAGUAUGUGAUCUCCGAUGGCAUCCAGAUGAUAAAAGUUCGGCUUGCGUAUCGAGGCAGCAAAGAUAAUCACAAACUGCAAUGGAAAUUGGUGAAUAUAUUGAGCUUAGCGUAAGGUGACGAGAUUAAAAGAGACUUGGAAAGCAGUUGUAGCUUUCAGAUUCUGAAUGUUUCAUUUCAAUUGGAUUAAUGUGCUUUUGUCAGCUAGCAAAGAAAGAGAACUUUUCGUUCAAUAUAUCUAAAAAAUAAUCACAUACUGAAAUUAAAAUUGAUGAAUUAAUUGAGCUUAGCGUAAGAUUGGGAGUUUAAAAGAAAUUUAGAAAGCAUUUGCAGCUUACAAAUUCUGAAUGUUGAAUUUUGUUUAGAUUAAAUUUGUGAGUUAGCAAACAAAUGGAGCUUUGCGAUUAAUAUAUCUAAAGAAUUCGCAUUUUCUGAGACGUCAGAUGAAUAUAAUUUUGAAAGCCUUGAAACAUUAGAUAUAUUGGCCAUAAAAGUUGAUCAAAAUAAACUUGCAAAGGGAGAUUUAAAAGCACGCUUUCUAUUUUCUAAAGAGAAAGUAUAUUAGAGCUGCGUUGAGACUGAUAUAGAGAGCUUUGAGUUUAAUAUAGCAAUAACGAAUUCAAUAUUCUAAGCCCGUGAAAGUUGUACUCAUAACAUAAUUUCGAAAUCGUAGAAAAAGCAGAUAAAAAUUACUUUCGAUGAGACCUUACUGUAAGGAAGAAAGGUAUAUAGGCAGCCUUAGCAAUGGCUUUUGAAAGUGACUGAAGCAAUGUGCUUUUAAAAGCACAUUUAAGCUUUACGAACAAGAUACGCAUAAAUCCGAAAGCUCUACUCCUAAGUUUAUAGUUUUUUUUUUUUAGAAUAAUCUGAUAGCUGAGCUCUCAUGUGCUUUCCCAUUUUCGUUAUCAAUAAGCUUAAACAAAAACAUAUCCUUACUAUAUUAGAGAGCAUGCUGUACACGAAAAGUGUGGGAAAUUCAAUAGUCACACGCCUCAUUUCCGAGCAGACAAUAAUGCCAAAGCUGGUAAGCACAAAGAGACGUUCGCUCCAGCGUAUGACAUUGUGACGAGUGAC
Molecule: RNA transcript, 3193 nt
Organism: Drosophila sulfurigaster albostrigata
Lineage: Eukaryota; Metazoa; Arthropoda; Insecta; Diptera; Drosophilidae
Gene: Syb
Gene name: synaptobrevin
Exons: 5
Source: RefSeq, a predicted model, not a curated record